This 871-nucleotide ribosomal RNA is filed under the name Enterococcus faecium. RNAcentral's name for it is "bacterial SSU rRNA". It matches the Rfam family "Bacterial small subunit ribosomal RNA", at positions 56 to 895 of the family's 1533-position model. Lineage: Bacteria; Bacillati; Bacillota; Bacilli; Lactobacillales; Enterococcaceae. The record is from RNAcentral.
UGCAGUCGAACGCUUCUUUUUCCACCGGAAGCUUGCUCCACCGGAAAAAGAGGAGUGGCGAACGGGUGAGUAACACGUGGGUAACCUGCCCAUCAGAAGGGGAUAACACUUGGAAACAGGUGCUAAUACCGUAUAACAAUCGAAACCGCAUGGUUUUGAUUUGAAAGGCGCUUUCGGGUGUCGCUGAUGGAUGGACCCGCGGUGCAUUAGCUAGUUGGUGAGGUAACGGCUCACCAAGGCCACGAUGCAUAGCCGACCUGAGAGGGUGAUCGGCCACAUUGGGACUGAGACACGGCCCAAACUCCUACGGGAGGCAGCAGUAGGGAAUCUUCGGCAAUGGACGAAAGUCUGACCGAGCAACGCCGCGUGAGUGAAGAAGGUUUUCGGAUCGUAAAACUCUGUUGUUAGAGAAGAACAAGGAUGAGAGUAACUGUUCAUCCCUUGACGGUAUCUAACCAGAAAGCCACGGCUAACUACGUGCCAGCAGCCGCGGUAAUACGUAGGUGGCAAGCGUUGUCCGGAUUUAUUGGGCGUAAAGCGAGCGCAGGCGGUUUCUUAAGUCUGAUGUGAAAGCCCCCGGCUCAACCGGGGAGGGUCAUUGGAAACUGGGAGACUUGAGUGCAGAAGAGGAGAGUGGAAUUCCAUGUGUAGCGGUGAAAUGCGUAGAUAUAUGGAGGAACACCAGUGGCGAAGGCGGCUCUCUGGUCUGUAACUGACGCUGAGGCUCGAAAGCGUGGGGAGCAAACAGGAUUAGAUACCCUGGUAGUCCACGCCGUAAACGAUGAGUGCUAAGUGUUGGAGGGUUUCCGCCCUUUCAGUGCUGCAGCUAACGCAUUAAGCACUCCGCCUGGGGAGUACGACCCGCAAGGUU